AACGUAGGUCACAAGCGUUGUCCGGAAUUACUGGGUGUAAAGGGAGCGCAGGCGGGAAGACAAGUUGGAAGUGAAAUCUAUGGGCUCAACCCAUAAACUGCUUUCAAAACUGUUUUUCUUGAGUAGUGCAGAGGUAGGCGGAAUUCCCGGUGUAGCGGUGGAAUGCGUAGAUAUCGGGAGGAACACCAGUGGCGGAGGCGGCCUACUGGGCACCAACUGACGCUGAGGCUCGAAAGUGUGGGUAGCAAACAGG
This 253-nucleotide ribosomal RNA is filed under the name Faecalibacterium prausnitzii. RNAcentral's name for it is "partial 16S ribosomal RNA". It matches the Rfam family "Bacterial small subunit ribosomal RNA", at positions 524 to 776 of the family's 1533-position model. Lineage: Bacteria; Bacillati; Bacillota; Clostridia; Eubacteriales; Oscillospiraceae. The record is from RNAcentral.